AAAUGUGCAACAAACAGGUAUCACAGAGGCAUGUAGGUUCUGGGGAAACCUAUAUAGCUUUGUUCCUGCCAACAUGCAUGUAUUCUGUAUUCUUUUUCAAGUAUCAUUUUCCACAGGAAAACAAGUUACCUCUGAUUUAUGGCAAAGGAGCCUAGUGGAAGAUCUGGCCAGGGUUGUGUGUGAUCCUACCACUAAAUCAGUAGGGAUUUUGAUAAACUAGAGGAUCUUGUUCAUCCAUCGCUGAUUUCUCUAAAAGUGCUGGAGAGAGAUGUCUUAAAUUAUUUCCAAGGAUUUUUAUGCUGAAUUUGGUAAAACUUUACGUUGGAUGUCACCUAAAUGUUGCUAAUGUAACCGCAAUGAACUGUGACCGUCCACAGUGGUGAAUAUGACAAAUGACCAGGAGAGAACACACCAGGAAAGGAAACGGCCAUGGUCUGCAGAAAUAACUAAACUGAGGCUCCAAACUGGAGGAAGAGGAGAUGAUGAUGGUCCUGCACUACAGGCAGUCCUUAAUGCUAAUACCAGCUCUCAAUAAGGCCGGGUGGCUACUGAGCUAGCGGUGUCCUGGAAGUUUGAUUUGGAAAGGUACCAGAGAAUGGCUUGUGAAGGAAGAACUACAAGAGAAGGCUUCUGAGCUGCACUAGGUGAGUGUUAUCUGUAACAUUCAUCCUGCUAUUUGCUGCUGUUAGGGGGAAACAGCCACAUGCAGAGAAGAGAUACCUAGGCCACAAUCCUCUUUUUUAGCUUGUUACAAUUACAUUUCCUUUUUUGCUUUUUAGGAUGCUGCCUACCAUCAUGUGAUCCAAGUAAGUUCUGCAUACCAGAACAACAAUUAAAGUCUUAGCAAGGGAGAAAAAAAGUAAUAGGAUCAGAGCUAAGUUAGAAUUGCAAAACUCUAUUUCUGCAUAAUGGCUUUCCUUGCAAAUCUGGCAUGCUAACGAGAGAGUCACACGUACAAACUGGUUCAGGUAUUGCACCAAGCAAUCUGGACUACAAAUCUUGUAACUAUU
Oxyura jamaicensis (ruddy duck) is the source of this 1010-nucleotide long non-coding RNA. RefSeq lists it as uncharacterized. The transcript has 3 exons. The record is from RefSeq and is a predicted model, not a curated record. NCBI's taxonomy places the organism in Eukaryota, Metazoa, Chordata, Aves, Anseriformes, Anatidae.